GGUCCAGACUCCUACGGGAGGCAGCAGUGGGGGAUAUUGCACAAUGGGGGCAACCCUGAUGCAGCGACGCCGCGUGAGCGAUGGAGUACUUCGGUAUGUAAAGCUCUGUCAGCAGGGAAGAGAAUGACGGUACCUGACCAAGAAGCCCCGGCUAAAUACGUGCCAGCAGCCGCGGUAAUACGUAUGGGGCAAGCGUUAUCCGGAUUUACUGGGUGUAAAGGGAGCGUAGGCGGCAGGGCAAGCCUGAUGUGAAAGCCCGGGGCUCAACCCCGGGACUGCAUUGGGAACUGUGUGGCUGGAGUGUCGGAGAGGCAGGCGGAAUUCCUAGUGUAGCGGUGAAAUGCGUAGAUAUUAGGAGGAACACCAGUGGCGAAGGCGGCCUGCUGGACGAUGACUGACGUUGAGGCUCGAAAGCGUGGGGAGCAAACAGGAUUAGAUACCCGCGUAAGA
RNAcentral lists this ribosomal RNA (450 nucleotides) under uncultured bacterium. RNAcentral's name for it is "partial 16S ribosomal RNA". It matches the Rfam family "Bacterial small subunit ribosomal RNA", at positions 328 to 794 of the family's 1533-position model. The record is from RNAcentral.